UACGUAGGGUGCAGGCGUUAAUCGGAAUUACUGGGCGUAAAGCGUGCGCAGGCGGUUUCUUAAGUCAGAUGUGAAAGCCCCGGGCUUAACCUGGGAACUGCGUUUGAAACUGGGAGACUUGAGUGUGGCAGAGGGGGGUGGAAUUCCACGUGUAGCAGUGAAAUGCGUAGAUAUGUGGAGGAACACCAAUGGCGAAGGCAGCCCCCUGGGUCAACACUGACGCUCAUGCACGAAAGCCAGGGGAGCAAACAGG
Molecule: ribosomal RNA, 253 nt
Filed under: uncultured bacterium
Lineage: Bacteria
Description: partial 16S ribosomal RNA
Rfam family: Bacterial small subunit ribosomal RNA
Source: RNAcentral